CUGACUGACCGAUAGUGAACCAGUACCGUGAGGGAAAGGCGAAAAGAACCCCGGCGAGGGGAGUGAAAAAGAACCUGAAACCGUGUACGUACAAGCAGUGGGAGCACGCUUAGGCGUGUGACUGCGUACCUUUUGUAUAAUGGGUCAGCGACUUAUAUUCUGUAGCAAGGUUAACCGAAUAGGGGAGCCGAAGGGAAACCGAGUCUUAACUGGGCGUUAAGUUGCAGGGUAUAGACCCGAAACCCGGUGAUCUAGCCAUGGGCAGGUUGAAGGUUGGGUAACACUAACUGGAGGACCGAACCGACUAAUGUUGAAAAAUUAGCGGAUGACUUGUGGCUGGGGGUGAAAGGCCAAUCAAACCGGGAGAUAGCUGGUUCUCCCCGAAAGCUAUUUAGGUAGCGCCUCGUGAAUUCAUCUCCGGGGGUAGAGCACUGUUUCGGCAAGGGGGUCAUCCCGACUUACCAACCCGAUGCAAACUGCGAAUACCGGAGAAUGUUAUCACGGGAGACACACGGCGGGUGCUAACGUCCGUCGUGAAGAGGGAAACAACCCAGACCGCCAGCUAAGGUCCCAAAGUCAUGGUUAAGUGGGAAACGAUGUGGGAAGGCCCAGACAGCCAGGAUGUUGGCUUAGAAGCAGCCAUCAUUUAAAGAAAGCGUAAUAGCUCACUGGUCGAGUCGGCCUGCGCGGAAGAUGUAACGGGGCUAAACCAUGCACCGAAGCUGCGGCAGCGACGCUUAUGCGUUGUUGGGUAGGGGAGCGUUCUGUAAGCCUGUGAAGGUGUGCUGUGAGGUAUGCUGGAGGUAUCAGAAGUGCGAAUGCUGACAUAAGUAACGAUAAAGCGGGUGAAAAGCCCGCUCGCCGGAAGACCAAGGGUUCCUGUCCAACGUUAAUCGGGGCAGGGUGAGUCGACCCCUAAGGCGAGGCCGAAAGGCGUAGUCGAUGGGAAACAGGUUAAUAUUCCUGUACUUGGUGUUACUGCGAAGGGGGGACGGAGAAGGCUAUGUUGGCCGGGCGACGGUUGUCCCGGUUUAAGCGUGUAGGCUGGUUUUCCAGGCAAAUCCGGAAAAUCAAGGCCGAGGCGUGAUGACGAGGCACUACGGUGCUGAAGCAACAAAUGCCCUGCUUCCAGGAAAAGCCUCUAAGCAUCAGGUAACAUCAAAUCGUACCCCAAACCGACACAGGUGGUCAGGUAGAGAAUACCAAGGCGCUUGAGAGAACUCGGGUGAAGGAACUAGGCAAAAUGGUGCCGUAACUUCGGGAGAAGGCACGCUGAUACGUAGGUGAAGCGACUUGCUCGUGGAGCUGAAAUCAGUCGAAGAUACCAGCUGGCUGCAACUGUUUAUUAAAAACACAGCACUGUGCAAACACGAAAGUGGACGUAUACGGUGUGACGCCUGCCCGGUGCCGGAAGGUUAAUUGAUGGGGUUAGCGCAAGCGAAGCUCUUGAUCGAAGCCCCGGUAAACGGCGGCCGUAACUAUAACGGUCCUAAGGUAGCGAAAUUCCUUGUCGGGUAAGUUCCGACCUGCACGAAUGGCGUAAUGAUGGCCAGGCUGUCUCCACCCGAGACUCAGUGAAAUUGAACUCGCUGUGAAGAUGCAGUGUACCCGCGGCAAGACGGAAAGACCCCGUGAACCUUUACUAUAGCUUGACACUGAACAUUGAGCCUUGAUGUGUAGGAUAGGUGGGAGGCUUUGAAGUGUGGACGCCAGUCUGCAUGGAGCCGACCUUGAAAUACCACCCUUUAAUGUUUGAUGUUCUAACGUGGACCCGUGAUCCGGGUUGCGGACAGUGUCUGGUGGGUAGUUUGACUGGGGCGGUCUCCUCCUAAAGAGUAACGGAGGAGCACGAAGGUUGGCUAAUCCUGGUCGGACAUCAGGAGGUUAGUGCAAUGGCAUAAGCCAGCUUGACUGCGAGCGUGACGGCGCGAGCAGGUGCGAAAGCAGGUCAUAGUGAUCCGGUGGUUCUGAAUGGAAGGGCCAUCGCUCAACGGAUAAAAGGUACUCCGGGGAUAACAGGCUGAUACCGCCCAAGAGUUCAUAUCGACGGCGGUGUUUGGCACCUCGAUGUCGGCUCAUCACAUCCUGGGGCUGAAGUAGGUCCCAAGGGUAUGGCUGUUCGCCAUUUAAAGUGGUACGCGAGCUGGGUUUAGAACGUCGUGAGACAGUUCGGUCCCUAUCUGCCGUGGGCGCUGGAGAACUGAGGGGGGCUGCUCCUAGUACGAGAGGACCGGAGUGGACGCAUCACUGGUGUUCGGGUUGUCAUGCCAAUGGCACUGCCCGGUAGCUAAAUGCGGAAGAGAUAAGUGCUGAAAGCAUCUAAGCACGAAACUUGCCCCGAGAUGAGUUCUCCCUGACCCUUUAAGGGUCCUGAAGGAACGUUGAAGACGACGACGUUGAUAGGCCGGGUGUGUAAGCGCAGCGAUGCGUUGAGCUAACCGGUACUAAUGAACCGUGAGGCUUAACCUUACAACGCCGAAG
This 2481-nucleotide ribosomal RNA is filed under the name Shigella flexneri. RNAcentral describes it as "partial 23S ribosomal RNA". It matches the Rfam family "Bacterial large subunit ribosomal RNA", at positions 476 to 2925 of the family's 2925-position model. The record is from RNAcentral. Lineage: Bacteria; Pseudomonadati; Pseudomonadota; Gammaproteobacteria; Enterobacterales; Enterobacteriaceae.